GUCGGAGUGGCGGAACCUGGUAGACGCGCAUGGUUGAGGGCCAUGUGGGCGCAAGCCCGUGGGGGUUCAAAUCCCCCCUCCGACA
Molecule: transfer RNA, 85 nt
Filed under: Actinomycetota bacterium
Lineage: Bacteria; Bacillati; Actinomycetota
Description: Actinobacteria bacterium (sediment metagenome) tRNA-Leu
Rfam family: tRNA
About the family: Transfer RNA (tRNA) molecules are approximately 80 nucleotides in length. Their secondary structure includes four short double-helical elements and three loops (D, anti-codon, and T loops). Further hydrogen bonds mediate the characteristic L-shaped molecular structure. tRNAs have two regions of fundamental functional importance: the anti-codon, which is responsible for specific mRNA codon recognition, and the 3' end, to which the tRNAs corresponding amino acid is attached (by aminoacyl-tRNA synthetases). tRNAs cope with the degeneracy of the genetic code in two manners: having more than one tRNA (with a specific anti-codon) for a particular amino acid; and 'wobble' base-pairing, i.e. permitting non-standard base-pairing at the 3rd anti-codon position.
Source: RNAcentral